This 253-nucleotide ribosomal RNA is filed under the name uncultured bacterium. RNAcentral describes it as "partial 16S ribosomal RNA". It matches the Rfam family "Bacterial small subunit ribosomal RNA", at positions 524 to 776 of the family's 1533-position model. The record is from RNAcentral.
UACGAAGGGGGCUAGCGUUGCUCGGAAUCACUGGGCGUAAAGCGCACGUAGGCGGCUUUCUAAGUCAGGGGUGAAAUCCUGGAGCUCAACUCCAGAACUGCCUUUGAUACUGGAAAGCUUGAGUUCGGGAGAGGUGAGUGGAACUGCGAGUGUAGAGGUGAAAUUCGUAGAUAUUCGCAAGAACACCCGUGGCGAAGGCGGCUCACUGGCCCGAUACUGACGCUGAGGUGCGAAAGCGUGGGGAGCAAACAGG